CCCUGCUCCGUACGGGUCUUCCAUCAGCCACAAAGCACCAACAGGAGCUCCUCCAGCCAAGGCCAAACCACCUUUCCGGCAUGGUCAGCUCAAACCUCGGCGCUGCUGCCCACGGCCGAUGCUCAGAGUGCUUCCUCCGUUGCGGGAGGCGCAGGGAUCCCACGCCCAGCAGGCAGGACGGCACUGAGCCUGCCUCCCGCGCGUGGCCGGGCGUUACUGGAGCAACAUCCCCGCGGGAGGGAAGGAAGGAGGAAGCCAGCUGUAAAGAAAUACAACCACUGCAGAGCUGACUGCGAGAGGAGAGAGAGGAACAGACAGGCUGGCUGGAAAGGACAGCUUUGCUGAGCCCAGGAGAAAAUGGUUUGAGUAAUUAUCAACGCCUGCCGCUAUGUGGCCAGGAAGAUGGGGAGCCUGUGCAGCCGGGAGCAGCAGGAGCCACCACCCUGCCCGGUGCAGGCAGACCGUCGCAGCCGCCACCAAAAUGUAAAGGCAGAGGUGUCAGCAGCCCCCCAAGCCAGAGCUUCGCUUCCCGGGAACAGCAAACCCAUCCAAGACCAGCCCUGCAGGUCCUGAGGGUAAAAGCCCUCGUGGUCCUCCCCUAAAGGCCACGAGCUUUCUUCCCACAUGUUUCCCCAGGCAACCUGUUGGCUGGGAAUCCUGCAGCCCAGGGAUUGGAAAACAUCAGCAAAUCCCUCCUGUACCUGCUCUCAAAACAGAAGCACAACGAUAGAAAAUGUCCCAAUCAGUCUCUCAUUACCAGAAUUUUUCUAGCUGGCAGAAAAAGAUGAUCACCAACAUGUAUCAGAUGCUCCUGGCACUUUUGGGCCAUGAAGUGCCAGGGGAAGAGUACGAGCCAUUGCAUCCUAGCAGCAAAUUGGAUUUUUAUACUGUGAAACCAGAUUGUGCUCCCAAUGAUACUGGUAUACAUUCAGACGAUUUCCAUGAAGGUAGAAUCAGCUCCUGCACUACAGGAGCCUUAGAGCUUAGGUCUGUGGAAAUCCCAUGGUGUUUUGUACAAGCCCCUUCCCCAAGCCCAGUAGGCUGGUGAAGCUGUCCUUACUGGGCAGCCAGCACCCCGGCACGAUGCGCAGCACGCACAGAGCAGAGAGCUGCAGGGACCGCAGUCCGAUCCCCGCUCCAGCAAGCCCCGCUCCGUCACAGAGAGCAAUGACAGCAGAAUCGCAAACUCCGCAUGUGCGGGGAUGGCUCUGCCCGACCCCUUCCUGUGGCAGCCCAAGCCGAACCAGAAAUAAAGAUGAAUUAGAAAAGG
Non-coding RNA from Phalacrocorax carbo (great cormorant), 1270 nucleotides. The record is from RefSeq and is a predicted model, not a curated record. NCBI's taxonomy places the organism in Eukaryota, Metazoa, Chordata, Aves, Suliformes, Phalacrocoracidae.